UCAACACACAGUGAUUGACAGUUUUAUCAAGGAGAUUACUGAAACUGCUGAGCUAAAUGAAAUGCUCCCUACUUUCCAUGAGCGCUUUAAGGAGAUUUUUUUCUAAAUGAUGACAAUAAUUACAAAUGUGCGUUGAAGGAAAGGAUAAUAAAGAGACCAGGAUAUGUAUGCACUACAGCAUAGGUGAGAAGGAUGACAAAUAUUCUAGUUGAAAUAACUCGACGUUAGAAGAUGGUACUUUUAUUAACGGCUUCGACUGAUCACAGUUGUGUCCGUAUGAGGCAUCAGACAAAUUUCACUAUCUGCGCGCACAUCACGCCUCGUACUACAGCUUCAGAUGCACCUACUAAAAGAAAAGAAUUGGAUCCCCGAUGUGGCCCCGCCGUACUCUUGAAGAUUUUGAUUUGUACAUUAUCUAAGAUUGCUUUUUCUAAAGUUACAGCUUUUCUAAGCAAAUAUUUUUUAAAAAGAUUUUUCUUUAUAUAUUUUGUACCCCCAUCCCCCGUUGUGACCCCAUCCUACCCCCAAAGAUCAUGAUUUGAACAAACUUGAAUCAACUCUACAUGAGGAUGCUUCCACACAAGUUUCAGCUUUUCUGCAUAAUUGGUCCCUGAAAACAAGAUUUUAAAAGAUUUUUCUAGAUUCCUAUGUAAAAAUUCAAACCCCCAUAGUGGACCCACUACAUCCGGGGACAUUGGUUGGAACAAAUCUGAAUUAACCCUACCGAAGGAAGCUUUCACAAAAGUUUCAGAUUUCCCGGCUGAUUAAUUUUUGAGAAGAAAAUUUUUAAAUAUUUCAUCUAUAUAUUCCUACGGAGAAAUUAGACCCUAUUGUGGCCUCACCCUACGCAUGGGGUAAUGAAUUUCAUAUCUUCAAUUCUACACUACCUGAGGAUGCUAUCACAUAAGUUUUAGACUUCCUGGCAAAAUGGUUAUUGAGAAAACGAUUUUUGAAAAUUUCUCAAAAAGAACUAUAUAU
Molecule: long non-coding RNA, 978 nt
Organism: Magallana angulata
Lineage: Eukaryota; Metazoa; Mollusca; Bivalvia; Ostreida; Ostreidae
Exons: 3
Source: RefSeq, a predicted model, not a curated record